AUGGGCGAAGCCGACUGGUCGAGGCAGCGGUUUCCAAAACCGCCGAAGGGAGUUCGAUUCUCUCCGCCCAUG
RNAcentral lists this transfer RNA (72 nucleotides) under Aeromicrobium panaciterrae. RNAcentral describes it as "tRNA-Trp". It matches the Rfam family "tRNA". Rfam says of the family: Transfer RNA (tRNA) molecules are approximately 80 nucleotides in length. The record is from RNAcentral. Lineage: Bacteria; Bacillati; Actinomycetota; Actinomycetes; Propionibacteriales; Nocardioidaceae.